CAGCCGCCGCGGGAAUACGUAGGUCCCGAGCGUUGUCCGGAUUUAUUGGGCGUAAAGCGAGCGCAGGCGGUUUGAUAAGUCUGAAGUUAAAGGCUGUGGCUCAACCAUAGUUCGCUUUGGAAACUGUCAAACUUGAGUGCAGAAGGGGAGAGUGGAAUUCCAUGUGUAGCGGUGAAAUGCGUAGAUAUAUGGAGGAACACCGGUGGCGAAAGCGGCUCUCUGGUCUGUAACUGACGCUGAGGCUCGAAAGCGUGGGGAGCGAACAGGAUUAGAUACCCCUGUAGUCCCUGUCUCUUAUACA
This 301-nucleotide ribosomal RNA is filed under the name uncultured bacterium. Its description in RNAcentral is "partial 16S ribosomal RNA". It matches the Rfam family "Bacterial small subunit ribosomal RNA", at positions 509 to 808 of the family's 1533-position model. The record is from RNAcentral.